UAAUACAUUCAACAACUAAGACUUUGAGCCAUGAGAUUAUAUGUCAAUAGUUACAUUUAAGCUUGUGAGAGCAUAAAUCAAUCAUAAAAAGGUAGAAAGAUUAAGCUCCAGAACACAAUAAGGGCUUAAACUACCUAUUUGAAAACGGUGAAACAAAUCAUUAAAUCUAACUAAUUUUAAAUGAUCAUGUUUUAAGAAUUAAUAUGGUACAGCUAAGAGAAGGCUACAAAAUCAUCAAUCAAGAAGACUCUAUAUAAGAUUGAUAAUUAGAGACAACUGUCACUGCUCGGUCACAUACUGUGGUCGACAUGAGCAAUGACAGACAUGUUAUGGAUAAUUUUUUAUCCACAAUUCCAUGGAGCUCCUCCGUUCUAAACCUCACUGCUUUGACUGCUUUUGAAUGUCACACCAGGAAUACCCUUCCUGCUCUAAUAAUAGCAAGCUAUCAGAAUCAAGCAAUAAUAUAGUGUGAAUAACUGAACAUGGAAAUCCGACAGUAAUAUAUACUAAUGAUCCUUUAAAGUAAUUAUGACCACAGUUGUCUACUCAAAGCUCAAAAGUGCACUUAACAAUCGUGUACAACAAUUAGUUUUAUACACUGCCACCAAAAUAUUUUAACCAACACUUCGACCAACAGCCCUGGUGAAGUGUAAUAUAUAAUUAAUAUGGUCAAUCAAGCAUAUUAUAUUAAUGUAUUAGAACUAAUAAAAGUGCACUGAGAAGGCAGCCAUAAAGCAAGAACAACCACUGCUAAGGGCACUGACGAUCACAGUAAUGAGAAAAAGUAACACAUGGCAAUAACAAAGAAACGUAAUCCAUUAUGAAGAGAGGAUGUAGGUGGAAAGAAACGUAAUCCAAAAAAUAAGACUAAUAUAGACAAGCCUCCAAAACUAAUACUACUAUUGACACACCUCUGACACUAAGACUAUAUAUAGACAAGCCUCCAAAAGUAAGGCUAAUGGAACACGAAGUAGUACCUCCUGCAAUUUCUUCAAUCUAAUUCCUUUUGAUUCUAUGGGAAAAGGUUGCAACAAGAGGAAUAGCCUGCAAAAAUAGAUAGAGCAAUUGUUGUACAAGUCAAAAAAAAGUUACUGCUAGCCAUAGUGCAUACAUUCUAUCUCUUAUUGUACUUUUUGCAACAUACUACAACUCAGAGCAGAUACAUGACAUAUCAUGGUAAUGCCACAAUGGUUAUUAUCGACUGGAAUCAGUUGUCCAGAUUUUUACUGGUAAAUCAAUUCAGUUUACAUGCAACCAAUAAAAUUUUAUAGGGAAAUGUUGUACUGAUAUCAUGGUGGCGCAAGCAUAGAAGUUGUUACAGAGUGGAAAGAACAGUCUAGAUUUUCAGUACUGAAUAUGUCCGUCUAGCAUCGCAAAAAGCUACAGUUAAGC
This 1392-nucleotide long non-coding RNA is filed under the name Triticum aestivum (bread wheat). Its description in RNAcentral is "long non-coding RNA (TAES_LNC011624)". The record is from RNAcentral. Lineage: Eukaryota; Viridiplantae; Streptophyta; Magnoliopsida; Poales; Poaceae.